RNAcentral lists this small RNA (63 nucleotides) under Vibrio cholerae O1 biovar El Tor str. N16961. Lineage: Bacteria; Pseudomonadati; Pseudomonadota; Gammaproteobacteria; Vibrionales; Vibrionaceae. The record is from RNAcentral.
UCUGCUGAGGAGCAGAACAAGCGGUAAGUAAAGCGAUUGAAGCCGCAAGAACCAGUUUUUUCA